RNAcentral lists this ribosomal RNA (843 nucleotides) under Lactiplantibacillus plantarum. RNAcentral describes it as "bacterial SSU rRNA". It matches the Rfam family "Bacterial small subunit ribosomal RNA", at positions 59 to 867 of the family's 1533-position model. The record is from RNAcentral. Lineage: Bacteria; Bacillati; Bacillota; Bacilli; Lactobacillales; Lactobacillaceae.
CAGUCGACGAACUCUGGUAUUGAUUGGUGCUUGCAUCAUGAUUUACAUUUGAGUGAGUGGCGAACUGGUGAGUAACACGUGGGAAACCUGCCCAGAAGCGGGGGAUAACACCUGGAAACAGAUGCUAAUACCGCAUAACAACUUGGACCGCAUGGUCCGAGUUUGAAAGAUGGCUUCGGCUAUCACUUUUGGAUGGUCCCGCGGCGUAUUAGCUAGAUGGUGGGGUAACGGCUCACCAUGGCAAUGAUACGUAGCCGACCUGAGAGGGUAAUCGGCCACAUUGGGACUGAGACACGGCCCAAACUCCUACGGGAGGCAGCAGUAGGGAAUCUUCCACAAUGGACGAAAGUCUGAUGGAGCAACGCCGCGUGAGUGAAGAAGGGUUUCGGCUCGUAAAACUCUGUUGUUAAAGAAGAACAUAUCUGAGAGUAACUGUUCAGGUAUUGACGGUAUUUAACCAGAAAGCCACGGCUAACUACGUGCCAGCAGCCGCGGUAAUACGUAGGUGGCAAGCGUUGUCCGGAUUUAUUGGGCGUAAAGCGAGCGCAGGCGGUUUUUUAAGUCUGAUGUGAAAGCCUUCGGCUCAACCGAAGAAGUGCAUCGGAAACUGGGAAACUUGAGUGCAGAAGAGGACAGUGGAACUCCAUGUGUAGCGGUGAAAUGCGUAGAUAUAUGGAAGAACACCAGUGGCGAAGGCGGCUGUCUGGUCUGUAACUGACGCUGAGGCUCGAAAGUAUGGGUAGCAAACAGGAUUAGAUACCCUGGUAGUCCAUACCGUAAACGAUGAAUGCUAAGUGUUGGAGGGUUUCCGCCCUUCAGUGCUGCAGCUAACGCAUUAAGCAU